GCCCUCAUCGUCUAGUGGUUUUAGGACAUUGCCCUCUCACGGCAAAGAUCGCGGGUUCGAUCCCCGCUGGGGGUA
Molecule: transfer RNA, 75 nt
Filed under: Patescibacteria group bacterium
Lineage: Bacteria
Description: tRNA-Glu
Rfam family: tRNA
About the family: Transfer RNA (tRNA) molecules are approximately 80 nucleotides in length. Their secondary structure includes four short double-helical elements and three loops (D, anti-codon, and T loops).
Source: RNAcentral